CCUACGGGAGGCAGCAGUGGGGAAUUUUGGACAAUGGGGGAAACCCUGAUCCAGCCAUUCCGCGUGAGUGAAGAAGGCCUUCGGGUUGUAAAGCUCUUUCAGCAGGAACGAAACGGCCGACUUUAAUAAAGUCGGCUAAUGACGGUACCUGCAGAAGAAGCACCGGCUAACUACGUGCCAGCAGCCGCGGUAAUACGUAGGGUGCGAGCGUUAAUCGGAAUUACUGGGCGUAAAGCGUGCGCAGGCGGCGACAUAAGACAGAUGUGAAAUCCCCGGGCUCAACCUGGGAACUGCGUUUGUGACUGUGUUGCUAGAGUGUAGCAGAGGGGGGUGGAAUUCCACGUGUAGCAGUGAAAUGCGUAGAGAUGUGGAGGAACACCGAUGGCGAAGGCAGCCCCCUGGGUUAACACUGACGCUCAUGCACGAAAGCGUGGGGAGCAAACAGGAUUAGAUACCCUGGUAGUCCACGCCCUAAACGAUGCCAACUAGGUGUUGGGGAAGGAGACUUCCUUAGUAC
RNAcentral lists this ribosomal RNA (517 nucleotides) under uncultured bacterium. RNAcentral describes it as "bacterial SSU rRNA". It matches the Rfam family "Bacterial small subunit ribosomal RNA", at positions 338 to 846 of the family's 1533-position model. The record is from RNAcentral.